This 23-nucleotide non-coding RNA is filed under the name Cricetulus griseus (Chinese hamster). The record is from RNAcentral. Lineage: Eukaryota; Metazoa; Chordata; Mammalia; Rodentia; Cricetidae.
CCGGCUGGCUAGGUUGCUCUGUA